GGAGAAGCCAGCUCCCAGCCUCCAGAGGCCAUGCUUGAAACCACGACCAUGCAUUCCUGCUCUUUGGAUUAAUUUCCAUUCCUGGUAGCAGAGUCAUUUGGUCCUUCAUCAACAGAAGAGAAGGAGGCAGACUGAAGCAGAUUUGUAAACCACUGAGCUUUUCAAAUCUAAUCACCAGGUCAUUAGAAGGAGUGGGGUAGCGGGGCUGUUUCUCCAGGAUUGAACACCGGGACCUCCACCAACGUGCUGGGGAGAAGAGUGCAGAAAGAGAAUUUUCCUUCUAUGGAGUUUAUUGCCUAUUGAGUGCCUUCAGUAACAAGGAAAAAAAAGGUAAUCAUGAAGGAUGUUAAUUUUUGUCUCUUCCAACAUCUCUUUGGAAUGUUUAUUGAUUUUCUGUUAGGCAGAUUGGAGACAGCAUGGUGAAAUUAUAAGAACACUAGAUUUCCAGUCAGAAGACCUGGAUUCAAGGCUAGCUCUGCCAAACAUUUCCUGUGCAACCCUGGGCAAGUUGCUUAACCUCUCUGUGCUUCAAUGCUCUCCGCUGUAAACAUGGAGAUAUUAUAUGGAAAAUGUCUCUGAUCAUUUUAAAGCGCUUGCCCAGUUCUUUGAGAAGAGCCCUAAGACCUGUCCCUAAUUUACUGUCUGACCUUGAGCAAGUUACUUCCCCUCUUUGGGGCCUCAGGUUCCUUGUGGAUAAAUGAAAAUAUUGGACUAGUUUUAUCACCAUGCCAGCCUAGCUAUGCAAUUCUAUAAUACUCUGUGGGCUCAGGUGCCAGCACCUUCUGGCUGAGACGAGGUAUGAUGUGGCUGAGUUUAAAGGAAGAGGUCUCUUUAUUAUAGCUUUGAUGCCCCUCCUGAGGAAAGCCAGGUGUUAGGGGGCCUUCUACCUCCACACAAGAGCAGGCAAAAUGGACACGGCAAGCUGGGCUUCAGCUUGGGCAGGAAAUGGUAAGGUGCAUCUGUCAGUGAUGGUUCUUUGUGGUUCUAAAAAGGAAAGGAAAUAUCAGUGGUGAAGCCAUGGCCAGGUCAUAGAGGAAGGAGUGG
This 1044-nucleotide long non-coding RNA is filed under the name Equus caballus (horse). Its description in RNAcentral is "lncRNA (ENSECAG00000052335.1)". The record is from RNAcentral. Lineage: Eukaryota; Metazoa; Chordata; Mammalia; Perissodactyla; Equidae.